CGCGUGGAUAUCUGCCCUUUAGUGGGGAACAACUUGGAGAAAUCCAAGCUAAUACCGCAUAAUACCUACGGGUGAAAGCGGGGGACCUUCGGGCCUCGCGCUGAAGGAUGAGUCCGCGUCUGAUUAGCUAGUUGGUGAGGUAAUGGCUUACCAAGGCGAUGAUCAGUAGCUGGUUUGAGAGGAUGAUCAGCCACACUGGAACUGAGACACGGUCCAGACUCCUACGGGAGGCAGCAGUGGGGAAUUUUGCACAAUGGGGGAAACCCUGAUGCAGCGACGCCGCGUGCGGGAAGAAGGCCUUAGGGUUGUAAACCGCUUUCAGUUGGGAAGAAGGGAUGAGUAUUAAUAGUAUUCUGACUUGACGGU
This 366-nucleotide ribosomal RNA is filed under the name uncultured Mariprofundus sp. Its description in RNAcentral is "bacterial SSU rRNA". It matches the Rfam family "Bacterial small subunit ribosomal RNA", at positions 114 to 481 of the family's 1533-position model. Lineage: Bacteria; Pseudomonadati; Pseudomonadota; Candidatius Mariprofundia; Mariprofundales; Mariprofundaceae. The record is from RNAcentral.